Molecule: long non-coding RNA, 2071 nt
Organism: Aquila chrysaetos chrysaetos
Lineage: Eukaryota; Metazoa; Chordata; Aves; Accipitriformes; Accipitridae
Source: Ensembl
CGGGUGGUUUCGGGGGUGGCCCGAGCCCGCCGAGCUGCCCGGGGGCGGCCGGCCGGCGGGGCCCUCGCCUCGGGGUGCCCGGUGGCGAACGGUCCCGGCGCUUUGGUACCACCAAAAAAAGGUAUAAUUACGCUACCGGGUAUAAAUUGACUCUGUGUACCACUGAAUCAUACUGAAUAUUUGUAAUGUGUUCCUUCCCUAAUAGAUGCUCUCUAUGAAUAGAGAGAGCGCCUAUUUACUCUGAAAUAUUUGGCACAGCGGCCGGAGUCUGAAGCGUGGAAGAAGUGGCUAUUAUUUUCCCACUGCGUGUGUGCAGCUGUCAUUUCUGAGCAACACGUUCCUCGCAUAUCCCUGCUUCCCAACCUUGCUGAUGGUCCACCCCAGGAUCGCAACAAGAAGAGGCUGGCAUGCCACCGCACUCAGCCAAAACCUUAACGCUGUGGAUGGACCAUUCUUGAGCUUGGAGGAGGUGAUCCUGCAAAACCAGUAAGAAGCACCAGAGUGGCUGAAGAAAACCAGUAAGAAGCAGAGUGGGGCAGAAAGAAGCCAUGAGCACAGAGCAACAGGCAGAAGCUGUUAUGCACAUAAUCCAACUUCCUGGGCCACCCACAGCUUCACUGCAGGAAUUAGGAAGGACUGAGUGUGUCCCACAGCAAGAGUAAAACAAAUUGAGACUAAGAAGUAAGGAGGAUAGGUGUUUGACUUAAGGUGAGCGUGAGGAAGGAGUAGAAAAGAUGUUACGUGUUUAAUUGUUUAUGUUCUCUCUUUCUGUUUUUUCUCAAUACUUGGAUCAGUGAUCAGAAAUUUCUGUUAAUUGGUAAUAAAUUAAAUUAAGUAAAAUUGCCCAGUUUUUGCCUGUGACACUAGCAAGUGCAAUAGUCCAACUUUCAUUUCACAGCACCACAGACACCCUUUGGCAUAUUCUGCUUCGAUAACGUGGAGGUCCAUUAAAAUCUUUGGAAACUACAGGUAAACUCACAUUAAGACUCUUUACACUGUCCAAGUACUCUAGAGAGUUCUGGUAUAUAGCAGGGGAAAGCCAGCUGAGCUGUCGAGCCGACAGCAAGCUUUGACUACAUUAAUAAAAUACUGAGUCAAAGCUGAUUAAUUUUGCUGUGCGACAGAUACAUUGGUUUGAGUUUAGUGCUGCACUUCUGUAAUUGCUCAACUUCCAAACUACAUCUGGUUUAUGUCUGUUUUGGAGCCAUGGAGCAGAUGCACAAAGGACUGCACCCAUCUCUAGAUAUUUUGUGCUGGGUAUGUCUCUACCAUGCUUUGAGCAUGAACUGCUGCGUGUUCGCACUGUGAGGGAAUAAAAUUCUGCUCUCGUCUGACUGUGGAAAAGCCUCUGAAUGUGUUGCAAAGAAUGUUUGGACACAGACUCCUUGUGAAGGCUCUGACACACAGCUAUAGACAGUAUCAAUGCGCUGCCACCAUGAUUUUGUCUGUCCUUGUAGACUUAUUUCAUGGCUGACAUUGUGCAGACAAGGUCCUCUCAGGAAAGGCUCCUUUAUAAUGUGCUAGAGGGAUAAAUAGAUAAGAUUUGGAAGUUCUCUGAUUUGUCCUUGUAAAAGCACAGGCUCCCAAAUCUGAAAAGCAAGUGUCCUACAUUGAACUCAAGUCUGGGAGCUGUAGAAUAAAGGAAUUUUAUGGGCAGGGCUAGAAUCUUUGUUUCAUUAAUGUGUAUGUUUAAAAAAUGCAAGUUCUCAGAUUAAAAAAAAAAAACCAACAAAACAACAGAGAAACCGUUACAUGAGAUGUCAGUCUUUCUUCUAAUACUAUUUCCAAACAUUUUUUAUGAGAUGCAUAACAAGCUGAAGAACUUGGAAAGGGCAUGGUUGAUCUGAGGGUCCCUCUACUAUGUGGCCAAGAACAGAUGUAUAUGGAGACAUCCAGAUAUAUUAAAAAGAGUAUUCUGGCAGAAUCUUGUGAACAAAAAACUAGAUAACAUGUCCAUGUCAGCAUGUUGUACUGUCAGGGAGGAUUAAUUCUCUGCUUAGCAUCCAAAACAUAUGGAAUUCACUGGGAACUGGAGCAACAACUCCUACUAGGAGUGGGUCAACCUUUUUCC